GGCAAUUUGGGUGAGUGGUCUAAGCCGAUGCACUCGAAAUGCAUUCUCUUCGGAGGCGCAGGUUCAAACCCUGCAGUUGUCG
Molecule: transfer RNA, 82 nt
Rfam family: tRNA
About the family: Transfer RNA (tRNA) molecules are approximately 80 nucleotides in length.
Source: Rfam